Molecule: long non-coding RNA, 1314 nt
Organism: Papaver somniferum (opium poppy)
Lineage: Eukaryota; Viridiplantae; Streptophyta; Magnoliopsida; Ranunculales; Papaveraceae
Exons: 5
Source: RefSeq, a predicted model, not a curated record
GUUCUAACCUUAACCUUUUUGCGCCUCUCUUUUCUCCAUCUUCUUCUGCAUCUGCUAAACCAGAAACUGAAAAAUUCAUAAAAACUAAACUCAAACUCAAACCCGUUUCCCCAAUCUUUUUCAUCUCCAUCCUCAAAACUCAAAUUCUCCAACAAACCCAAAGACAACAACACCAGUUUGUUUCUCAUUAAACAAACCCCUUACUUCACCUUUUGUACCAAGAAACAAAACUGGUCGAUCUGAAUUGUUCUUUGUGAUGCGAUCAAAAGGGGAAAAUGGGCGGGAUUCUUCUCGCUCUCUCACCUAUAAAUAAAGUCCUAAAUCUUUCUGGUUUGCUGACUGACAUCAUGAAAACCAGUACUAAUCAAAGGUAAAUGGCUAACCACAAUGAACAAAGUUCAUCAUCAGCUCCAGCAACUUCAUCUUCAUCUGGUACCUAUCACUAUCAGCUUUUUUCCUUAUUUUGUUUUGUGUAUAAUCUCUUGAACUUCAUCCACCAGUUGUCAUUUGUAAUUUUUUAUUUUGUGCAACAACUCUUUCACUGAAUCCCAGAGUUGUGUUGAUAAAAGAUUUUUCACUCAUUAAGUAUAAGUAUUAGCCUUGAGUAUCUCUUUUCUUGAGUAUCAAAGGAUGAAUAUCAAAGAGAAAACGAGGAUUGUUAGAUAACCUAUCAGGUACAAAGGAAGCUGGUUGUUAUGUACUCAGAACCAAACCGUCACUAGUUCUGUAUCCUAAAUAACUCUUUAGGCGUGAACGACGGUUUCAUCGAAGCAAGUUGUCUGCUUGCACUGGUUUCAAAUGUAGUAAGAUCCACUUGAGACCUGCAAAGCAUGGAAUAAAGUUUUUCAUUAUGAUUGUGGAUUAUUUUGCUUCUUCGUUUUAAAGUUCAUUUUAUUGCAGGUGUUUAUUAAGCAAUUGAGUUGCAUGAAAAUUAUAGGCUCUGUGUGACAUCUUUCUCUAGCAGAUACACCCCUUUCCACAAGCUAUGUACUGAGAAAUUUUCCCUGGUUGAAUGUUUCUUAUCUUAUAAUGAUCUUCUUAAACUUUUUUACUUUUUUCCCUUCAGGCGCUGAAGGAGGCAUUGAAGUGUAUUGCAAUAAGGUUAUUGCUGGGAGCACAAGCCUAGAGCUACUGUUCAGAAGUGCAACAAGGUUAUUUCCCAGUGUGGUUGAAUUGUACUUUUGUUCAGUCAAAAUUUUUUGGAAGCUUAGGAUCUUAGUAGAACUUUAGUUCAUGUUGUAUUUUUCUUUCCUGAGUCCCUUUUUUUUUGGUUUCUUGGGUUUUUGGAUUGAAAAUUUUGUAAUGAGCAAUGAA